This 197-nucleotide unclassified non-coding RNA is filed under the name air metagenome. RNAcentral describes it as "partial contains small subunit ribosomal RNA, internal transcribed spacer 1, and 5.8S ribosomal RNA". The stretch from base 1 to 46 matches the Rfam family "Eukaryotic small subunit ribosomal RNA", at positions 1786 to 1831 of the family's 1831-position model. The record is from RNAcentral.
AAGUCGUAACAAGGUCUCCGUAGGUGAACCUGCGGAGGGAUCAUUACUGAAUGGCCCUUUGGGCCUUCAACCUUCAAAAACAUGUGGAAGCAAGAUGUGCUUCGGUGCCUCUGGUGCCGCCUUUAUGCAGUGAAGCCUUAUUUGUCUGAACCAAAAUCAAAAAGUUAAAACUUUCAACAAAGGAUCUCUUGGCUCUC